This 73-nucleotide transfer RNA is filed under the name Neodangemannia microcystis. Its description in RNAcentral is "tRNA-Pro". It matches the Rfam family "tRNA". Rfam says of the family: Transfer RNA (tRNA) molecules are approximately 80 nucleotides in length. Their secondary structure includes four short double-helical elements and three loops (D, anti-codon, and T loops). Further hydrogen bonds mediate the characteristic L-shaped molecular structure. tRNAs have two regions of fundamental functional importance: the anti-codon, which is responsible for specific mRNA codon recognition, and the 3' end, to which the tRNAs corresponding amino acid is attached (by aminoacyl-tRNA synthetases). tRNAs cope with the degeneracy of the genetic code in two manners: having more than one tRNA (with a specific anti-codon) for a particular amino acid; and 'wobble' base-pairing, i.e. permitting non-standard base-pairing at the 3rd anti-codon position. Lineage: Eukaryota; Viridiplantae; Chlorophyta; Ulvophyceae; Oltmannsiellopsidales; Oltmannsiellopsidaceae. The record is from RNAcentral.
CGGGAUGUAGCACAGAUGGUAGCGCGCCUGAUUUGGGUUCAGGAGGCCGAUGGUUCGAAUCCAUUCAUCCCGA